AGUUAACUGGCUUCUGAAGCCCAUAAUUUACCCGUGCCAAUGAACAUGACAGGAUGUCUGUGUCUGUCCAGUGCCAGCACGCUUUCCACCACAAUCCGGGUC
Long non-coding RNA from Thalassophryne amazonica, 102 nucleotides. RefSeq lists it as uncharacterized. The transcript is spliced from 3 exons. Lineage: Eukaryota; Metazoa; Chordata; Actinopteri; Batrachoidiformes; Batrachoididae. The record is from RefSeq and is a predicted model, not a curated record.